RNAcentral lists this ribosomal RNA (667 nucleotides) under Salmonella enterica subsp. enterica serovar Agona. RNAcentral describes it as "partial 23S ribosomal RNA". It matches the Rfam family "Bacterial large subunit ribosomal RNA", at positions 2187 to 2848 of the family's 2925-position model. Lineage: Bacteria; Pseudomonadati; Pseudomonadota; Gammaproteobacteria; Enterobacterales; Enterobacteriaceae. The record is from RNAcentral.
CGACCUUGAAAUACCACCCUUUAAUGUUUGAUGUUCUAACGUGGACCCGUAAUCCGGGUUGCGGACAGUGUCUGGUGGGUAGUUUGACUGGGGCGGUCUCCUCCUAAAGAGUAACGGAGGAGCACGAAGGUUGGCUAAUCCUGGUCGGACAUCAGGAGGUUAGUGCAAUGGCAUAAGCCAGCUUGACUGCGAGCGUGACGGCGCGAGCAGGUGCGAAAGCAGGUCAUAGUGAUCCGGUGGUUCUGAAUGGAAGGGCCAUCGCUCAACGGAUAAAAGGUACUCCGGGGAUAACAGGCUGAUACCGCCCAAGAGUUCAUAUCGACGGCGGUGUUUGGCACCUCGAUGUCGGCUCAUCACAUCCUGGGGCUGAAGUAGGUCCCAAGGGUAUGGCUGUUCGCCAUUUAAAGUGGUACGCGAGCUGGGUUUAGAACGUCGUGAGACAGUUCGGUCCCUAUCUGCCGUGGGCGCUGGAGAACUGAGGGGGGCUGCUCCUAGUACGAGAGGACCGGAGUGGACGCAUCACUGGUGUUCGGGUUGUCAUGCCAAUGGCACUGCCCGGUAGCUAAAUGCGGAAGAGAUAAGUGCUGAAAGCAUCUAAGCACGAAACUUGCCCCGAGAUGAGUUCUCCCUGAGACUUAGAGUCUCCUGAAGGAACGUUGAAGACGAC